UUGCUUUUUGAUCCUUCGAUG
This 21-nucleotide non-coding RNA is filed under the name Arabidopsis thaliana (thale cress). The record is from RNAcentral. Lineage: Eukaryota; Viridiplantae; Streptophyta; Magnoliopsida; Brassicales; Brassicaceae.